This 1084-nucleotide ribosomal RNA is filed under the name uncultured Fusarium. RNAcentral describes it as "SSU rRNA". It matches the Rfam family "Eukaryotic small subunit ribosomal RNA", at positions 70 to 1163 of the family's 1831-position model. The record is from RNAcentral. Lineage: Eukaryota; Fungi; Ascomycota; Sordariomycetes; Hypocreales; Nectriaceae.
CCUAUUAUACAGCUGAAACUGCGAAUGGCUCAUUAUAUAAGUUAUCGUUUAUUUGAUAGUACCUUACUACUUGGAUAACCGUGGUAAUUCUAGAGCUAAUACAUGCUAAAAAUCCCGACUUCGGAAGGGAUGUAUUUAUUAGAUUAAAAACCAAUGCCCUCCGGGGCUCACUGGUGAUUCAUGAUAACUUCUCGAAUCGCAUGGCCUUGCGCCGGCGAUGGUUCAUUCAAAUUUCUUCCCUAUCAACUUUCGAUGUUUGGGUAUUGGCCAAACAUGGUUGCAACGGGUAACGGAGGGUUAGGGCUCGACCCCGGAGAAGGAGCCUGAGAAACGGCUACUACAUCCAAGGAAGGCAGCAGGCGCGCAAAUUACCCAAUCCCGACUCGGGGAGGUAGUGACAAUAAAUACUGAUACAGGGCUCUUUUGGGUCUUGUAAUUGGAAUGAGUACAAUUUAAAUCCCUUAACGAGGAACAAUUGGAGGGCAAGUCUGGUGCCAGCAGCCGCGGUAAUUCCAGCUCCAAUAGCGUAUAUUAAAGUUGUUGUGGUUAAAAAGCUCGUAGUUGAACCUUGGGCCUGGCUGGCCGGUCCGCCUCACCGCGUGUACUGGUCCGGCCGGGCCUUUCCCUCUGUGGAACCCCAUGCCCUUCACUGGGUGUGGCGGGGAAACAGGACUUUUACUGUGAAAAAAUUAGAGUGCUCCAGGCAGGCCUAUGCUCGAAUACAUUAGCAUGGAAUAAUAGAAUAGGACGUGUGGUUCUAUUUUGUUGGUUUCUAGGACCGCCGUAAUGAUUAAUAGGGACAGUCGGGGGCAUCAGUAUUCAAUUGUCAGAGGUGAAAUUCUUGGAUUUAUUGAAGACUAACUACUGCGAAAGCAUUUGCCAAGGAUGUUUUCAUUAAUCAGGAACGAAAGUUAGGGGAUCGAAGACGAUCAGAUACCGUCGUAGUCUUAACCAUAAACUAUGCCGACUAGGGAUCGGACGAUGUUAUAUUUUGACUCGUUCGGCACCUUACGAGAAAUCAAAGUGCUUGGGCUCCAGGGGGAGUAUGGUCGCAAGGCUGAAACUUAAAGAAAUUGACGGAAGG